RNAcentral lists this ribosomal RNA (518 nucleotides) under uncultured Planococcus sp. RNAcentral describes it as "bacterial SSU rRNA". It matches the Rfam family "Bacterial small subunit ribosomal RNA", at positions 8 to 507 of the family's 1533-position model. Lineage: Bacteria; Bacillati; Bacillota; Bacilli; Caryophanales; Caryophanaceae. The record is from RNAcentral.
AGAGUUUGAGUCCUGGCUCAGGACGAACGCUGGCGGCGUGCCUAAUACAUGCAAGUCGAGCGGAACACUUGGAGCUUGCUCCAAGCGUUUAGCGGCGGACGGGUGAGUAACACGUGGGCAACCUGCCCUGCAGAUCGGGAUAACUCCGGGAAACCGGUGCUAAUACCGAAUAGUUUGGAACCUCUCCUGAGGUUCCACGGAAAGACGGUUUCGGCUGUCACUGCAGGAUGGGCCCGCGGCGCAUUAGCUAAGUUGGUGGGGGUAAUGGCCCACCAAGGCGACGAUGCGUAGCCGACCUGAGAGGGUGAUCGGCCACACUGGGACUGAGACACGGCCCAGACUCCUACGGGAGGCAGCAGUAGGGAAUCUUCCGCAAUGGACGCAAGUCUGACGGAGCAACGCCGCGUGAGUGACGAAGGUUUUCGGAUCGUAAAACCCUGUUGUGAGGGAAGAACAAGUACCAACUAACUACUGGUACCUUGACGGUACCUCACCAGAAAGCCACGGCUAACUACGUG